AGGGACAGAGGCCUGUUCUAAGUGCCUGACAUGGGGGACCAGCUUAGCUGUUGGCAUGUCACGGCGCUGGCCUAGCCAGGAGCUGGCGACCAAAUAAUAAUAUUGAUAAUGACAAUAUUAAUAACAAGAGCUGAGCUUGACUGAGGCGUCUGCUCUGUGAAGGGAGGAAUGUUGGCUCAUUGCUAAGGUUUCCUCAGCUUGGAGGGAUGUGUGGUUAGACCCAGAGGGGAGGUAACAAGGCAAAAGCAAUGAUGUUACCCAGGUGGUAAAAGAACUUGGGAAAAGGAAAGCGCAAGGUUGAAGUCAUCUUAGCUUGAAUGGAGGUCGAGGUGCAGCUGGGGCAACAGAAACGCUGCUAAUUGCAGAUAGGUUUGCCUAAAGAAUGAGCCAUGAACCCAGACUUGGAAGAUGUGAGCUAUAAUCCCCAGCUUCUUCAGUACCUGCGUGUCCUGAAGUUACCUUACUUCUCUGGACUUUAGUUUCCAUACAGUAAAAUGAAUGGACUGGCAUGAUAUCCUCUUUUAAUGCUACGUUAGAGGUUACUGAUUUUCAGAACUCAAACAAUCAUUGACAACUAUUUAUUGACUACGCUCUAUCUGCCAGGCACCUGGAGGGAUCUCUCAGGAAAAGGAACAUCUUCCAGUUUCUCAGGAUCACGCAGGUUUCUCUCCAGUGGCCACAGCCCAGCUGCAUCUUCAAGGUAUUCUUGUGACUGCACAAAAGUGCUACCUGGAGGGACGACCGCAUUCGCCCUCAAAAUAACAAGGAAGACCAGCUCCUCUGUGGCUACCCUGGUUACGCAGGAGAUACCUCAGAGGUGACCUGAGAGAACUCAGCCCAAUAGGGCUGGCUCCAUGCUGAAUGGCAACCAGUCACCCAAUGAGAGUUGGAAAAAGAGAAAGAAGGU
Long non-coding RNA from Rhinolophus ferrumequinum (greater horseshoe bat), 907 nucleotides. RefSeq lists it as uncharacterized. Lineage: Eukaryota; Metazoa; Chordata; Mammalia; Chiroptera; Rhinolophidae. The record is from RefSeq and is a predicted model, not a curated record. The transcript has 3 exons.